UGGGGAAUUUUGGACAAUGGGCGCAAGCCUGAUCCAGCCAUGCCGCGUGCGGGAAGAAGGCCUUCGGGUUGUAAACCGCUCUUGUCAGGGAAGAAAUCUUCUGAGUUAAUACCUCGGGAGGAUGACGGUACCUGAAGAAUAAGCACCGGCUAACUACGUGCCAGCAGCCGCGGUAAUACGUAGGGUGCAAGCGUUAAUCGGAGUUACUGGGCGUAAAGCGUGCGCAGGCGGUUUUGUAAGACAGAGGUGAAAUCCCCGGGCUCAACCUGGGAACUGCCUUUGUGACUGCAAGGCUUGAGUGCGGCAGAGGGGGAUGGAAUUCCGCGUGUAGCAGUGAAAUGCGUAGAUAUGCGGAGGAACACCGAUGGCGAAGGCAAUCCCCUGGGCCUGCACUGACGCUCAUGCACGAAAGCGUGGGGAGCAAACAGGAUUAGAUACCCUGGUAGUCCACGCCCUAAAACGAUGUCAACUGGUUGUUGGGAAGGUUCCUUCUCAGUAACGUAGCUAACGCGUGAAGUUGACCGCCUGGGGAGUACGGCCGCAAGGUUG
This 549-nucleotide ribosomal RNA is filed under the name uncultured bacterium. RNAcentral's name for it is "partial 16S ribosomal RNA". It matches the Rfam family "Bacterial small subunit ribosomal RNA", at positions 355 to 896 of the family's 1533-position model. The record is from RNAcentral.